UCUAGCGGCGGACGGGUGAGUAAUGCGUAGGAAGCUACCCGAUAGAGGGGGAUACCAGUUGGAAACGACUGUUAAUACCGCAUAAUGUCUACGGACCAAAGUGUGGGACCUUCGGGCCACAUGCUAUCGGAUGCGCCUACGUGGGAUUAGCUAGUUGGUGAGGUAAUGGCUCACCAAGGCGACGAUCUCUAGCUGGUUUGAGAGGAUGAUCAGCCACACUGGAACUGAGACACGGUCCAGACUCCUACGGGAGGCAGCAGUGGGGAAUAUUGGACAAUGGGCGCAAGCCUGAUCCAGCCAUGCCGCGUGUGUGAAGAAGGCCUUCGGGUUGUAAAGCACUUUCAGCGAGGAGGAAGGGGUUGUAGUUAAUAGCUGCAACCUUUGACGUUACUCGCAUAAGAAGCACCGGCUAACUCUGUGCCAGCAUCCGCGGUAAUACAGAGGGUGCAAGCGUUAAUCGGAAUUACUGGGCGUAAAGCGCACGCACGCGGUUGGUUAAGUCAGAUGUGAAAGCCCCGGGCUCAACCUGGGAAUUGCAUUUGAAACUGGCCAACUAGAGUAUGUGAGAGGGGGGUAGAAUUCCAACUGUACCGGAUGAAUGCAUCGAGAUUUUGGAGGAAUACCAGUGGGCGAAUGCCGGCGCCCUGCCACAAUACUGACGCUCAUGCUGCUAUAUCGUGGGGAAGCAACAGGAUUACAAAAUCUGGGUAGU
This 712-nucleotide ribosomal RNA is filed under the name uncultured bacterium. RNAcentral's name for it is "bacterial SSU rRNA". It matches the Rfam family "Bacterial small subunit ribosomal RNA", at positions 91 to 794 of the family's 1533-position model. The record is from RNAcentral.